AUAUCAAUAAGCGGAGGAAAAGAAACCAACAGGGAUUGCCUCAGUAACGGCGAGUGAAGCGGCAACAGCUCAAAUUUGAAAUCUGGCUCUUCCAGGGUCCGAGUUGUAAUUUGUAGAGGAUGCUUCGGCGCGGCUCCGGUCUAAGUUCCUUGGAACAGGACGUCAUAGAGGGUGAGAAUCCCGUAUGUGACUCGGCUGCCUUCUGCCAUGUGAAGCUCUUUCGACGAGUCGAAUUGUUUGGGAAUGCAGCUCUAAAAUGGGAGGUAAAUUUCUAUCUAAAGCUAAAUAUUCGGCCAGAGACCGAUAGCGCACAAGUAGAGUGAUCGAAAGAUGAAAAGCACUUUGGAAAGAGAGUCUAAACAGUAC
RNAcentral lists this ribosomal RNA (366 nucleotides) under uncultured fungus. RNAcentral describes it as "eukaryotic LSU rRNA". It matches the Rfam family "Eukaryotic large subunit ribosomal RNA", at positions 40 to 398 of the family's 3401-position model. The record is from RNAcentral. Lineage: Eukaryota; Fungi.